AUGGAGAUGUGGGGCUGUAGGGUGGGAAACCCGGAGAUGUGGGGCAGAAUGCAUGGGCUGCAGGAUGUGGAACCUGGAGAUGUGGGGCUGCAGAGUGAGAAAUCCAGAGAUGUAGGGUUGCAAGGUAUGGACCUCAGAGAUGUGGGGCUGCAGGAUGGGAAACCUGAAGAUGUGGGGCUACGGGGUGUGGAAAGUGAAGAUGUGGGGCUGAUAAGAUGUGGAACUCAGAGACGUGGGCCUGCAGAACAAAUGGGCUGCAGGGUGUGGAACUCCAAGAUGUGGGGUUGUAGGAUAUGGAACUCAGAGAUGUGGGGCUGCAGGACAAACGAGCUACAAGAUGUGGAACCCGGAGAUGUGGGGCUGCAGGGUCUGGAACCUGAAAGCGUGGGGCUGCAGGGUGUAAAACCCAGAGAUGUGGGGCUGCAGAACAAACGGGCUGCAGGAUGCGGAGCCCGGAGAUGUGGUGCUGCAGGAUGUGGGUCCCGGAGACGCGGCGCAGCAGAACAAUUGGGCUGCGCGGUUGCGCGCUCGCUCUGUGCCCCCAUGGAGCAACGAGGGGCGCCCAGCCGUCGCCCCCCAGCCCCCGUCGCCCCCUCCCCACGCCCCACCGCCCUCAGUCGUCUCCGCGUCCCCAAACUGCAUGCUGGCGCGGAUCUCCCUGCGCUCCCCGACCGCCCCCAGCUCGGGCAGCUCCAGGCUGACGGUGCCGCAUUUCCUCACCCCCGGCUCGGUGAUGAACAGCACAUCAUCCCGGGCGCAGCUGUAGAUAUUGAUGACGGUUCUGCGCUGCCCGGAGCGCGCGGGGCAAUAACUGCGCUGCACCACCUCCCCCAGCGCCACCGACUGCUCCGCGCAGACGAACUUCUCGAAGACGUCGCUGCACCAACGCCGGCCGUCCUUCAGCAGCAGCUUCUCCCUCGGGUGUUUCCCUUCUAUGAACUUGUUGAGCACCCCGACGCCGUAGGUGAGGGGGGAGCGGCGGACGCGCAGCGCGGUGGGGUCGAGGCCGAAGAGGACGGCGCCCUUUAG
Molecule: long non-coding RNA, 1029 nt
Filed under: Chrysolophus pictus (golden pheasant)
Lineage: Eukaryota; Metazoa; Chordata; Aves; Galliformes; Phasianidae
Description: lncRNA (ENSCPIG00010010675.1)
Source: RNAcentral